Molecule: antisense RNA, 75 nt
Filed under: Actinocrispum wychmicini
Lineage: Bacteria; Bacillati; Actinomycetota; Actinomycetes; Pseudonocardiales; Pseudonocardiaceae
Description: ASpks TB sRNA
Rfam family: ASpks TB sRNA
Source: Rfam by way of RNAcentral
CUUGAUCGAGCCGAGCCACAGUGGCCGGUCCUCGGGCCGGUCCUGGCCGUAUGUGGCGAUCAGGGCCUGGGCUUC